AGGGCGCAGGGCGAAUGCCUUGGCACUGGGAGCCGAUGAAAGACGUGAUAAGCUGCGAUAAGCUUCGGGGAGCUGCAAAUAAGCAUUGAUCCGGAGAUUUCUGAAUGAGGAAACUCACCUGGGUUCAUACUCAGGUACAAUACACUGAAAUUCAAAAUAGGUGUAUUGAGGGAACCGCCUGAACUGAAACAUCUAAGUAGGGCGAGGAAGAGACAUCAAACGAGAUUCCGUAAGUAGUGGCGAGCGAACGCGGAAGAGGGCAAACCGAGAGUAGAAAUACUUUCGGGGUACGGACUGCUUUUAGGACUUAAUCUGUUAACCGAACGGCAUGGGAAGGCCGGUCAGAGAGUGUGAGAACCACGUAGGUGAAAACGGAGAGAGCUGCGCAGGAUCCAGAGUACGGCCAGACACGUGAAACCUGGUCGGAAUACGGGGGGACCACCCUCCAACCCUAAAUACUACCCAGUGACCGAUAGCGUAUAGUACUGUGAAGGAAAGGUGAAAAGCACCCCGGGAGGGGAGUGAAAAAGAACCUGAAACCCUGUGCCUACAAGCACCUAGAGCGCGUCAAAGCGUGAUAGGGUACUUUUUGUAGAACGGUCCGGCGAGCGAUUGUAUGCAGCAAGGUUAAGGACUUAAGGUCUGGAGCCGAAGCGAAAGCGAGUUUGAAAAGGGCGUUAAGUUGCAUAUAAUGGGCCCGAAACCGGGUGACCUACCCAUGGUCAGGUUGAAGUGGAAGUAAAAUUCCAUGGAGGACCGAACCGACCUCCGUUGAAAAGGCGGCGGAUGAACUGUGGGUAGCGGAGAAAUUCCAAUCGAACCCGGAGAUAGCUGGUUCUCCCCGAAAUAGUUUUAGGACUAGCCUCAAGUUAGAUACCUGGAGGUAAAGCACUGAAUAGCCUAGCGGCCGAGAGGUUAGCGAAGCUUAUCAAACUCAGAAUGCCAGAGUAUUGAUGCUUGGGAGUCAGACAGUGUCAGAUAAAUGUCAUUGUCAAAAGGGAAACAGCCCAGAUCUACAGCUAAGGUCCCAAAGUCAGGUUAAGUGGAAAACGAUGUGAAGAUACGCAGACAACCAGGAUGUUGGCUCAGAAGCAGCCACUCAUUCAAAGAGUGCGUAAUAGCUCACUGGUCGAGCGUCUUUGCGCGGAGAAUUUAACGGGGCUAAACCUGACACCGAAGCUUAGGCAAUACAGCAAUGUAUUGGGUAGGGGAGCGUUGUAUACGCGGUGAAACAGUAGCGCAAGCGGCUGUGGAGUGUAUAGAAGUGAGAAUGCCGGAAUGAGUAGCGCGAAUGCAGUGAGAAUCUGCAUGGCCGAAAGCCUCAGGUUUCUGGAGGAAGGUUCGUCCGCUCCAGGUUAGUCGGGAGCUAAGGUGAGGCCUAACGGCGUAGCCGAUGCACAGACGGUAGAGAUUCCGUCACCACCAAAAGAGUUAAACACAGGGACACAUUUGAAGUCUCGGAGCCGGGUGUUGGUUCCGGUAGCGAUCGAGGGAAGUUAGUACCGAAGUCCGGGAUGGAAGAUGGCGAGAAAAGCUGUGUGUAUUUCUGCGGUGCCCGUACCGCAAACCGACACAGGUAGGUAGGAAGAAGAUUCUAAGGCCAACGGGAGAAGGGUUGUUAAGGAACUCGGCAAAUUGACCCCGUAACUUCGGGAGAAGGGGUGCUCCAGAGAUGGAGCCGCAGAGAAUCGGCCCAAGCAACUGUUUACCAAAAACACAGGUUUGUGCUAAAUCGAAAGAUGACGUAUACGAGCUGACGCCUGCCCGGUGCUGGAAGGUUAAGAGGAGAUGUGCAAGCAUUGAAUCGAAGCCCCAGUGAACGGCGGCCGUAACUAUAACGGUCCUAAGGUAGCGAAAUUCCUUGUCAGGUAAGUUCUGACCCGCAUGAAAGGCGUAAUGAUUUGGGCACUGUCUCAACAGCCCGCCCGGCGAAAUUGUAGUACCGGUGAAGAUGCCGGUUACCCGCGACAAGACGGAAAGACCCCAUGGAGCUUUACUGUAGCCUAAUAUUGGGUUUCGAUGUUGCAUGCACAGGAUAGAUGGGACACUGGGAAGCAGGUGCUUUGGCGCUUGUGGAGUGGCCGUUGGGAUACCAUCCUUGCGAUAUUGGAAUUCUAACCUGCGCCUUUGAAUCAAGGCGGGGGACAUUGUUAGGUGGGCAGUUUGACUGGGGCGGUCGCCUCCUAAAGAGUAACGGAGGCGUUCAAAGGUUCGCUCAGCUUGAACGGAAAUCAAGCAAAAGAGUGCAAACGCAGAAGCGAGCCUAACUGCGAGACUGACGGGUCGAGCAGUAACGAAAGUUGGAGUUAGUGAUCCGGUGGUAUGUGAGUGGAAAUGCCAUCGCUCAACGGAUAAAAG
Molecule: ribosomal RNA, 2358 nt
Filed under: human gut metagenome
Description: bacterial LSU rRNA
Rfam family: Bacterial large subunit ribosomal RNA
Source: RNAcentral